UACGUAGGGGGCAAGCGUUGUCCGGAUUUAUUGGGCGUAAAGAGCGUGUAGGCGGCCAGAUAGGUCCGUUGUGAAAACUGGAGGCUUAACCUCCAGCGGUCGAUGGAAACCAUUUGGCUAGAGUCCGGAAGAGGAGAGUGGAAUUCCUGGUGUAGCGGUGAAAUGCUUAGAUAUGACAUAGAACACCAAUUGCGAAGGCAGCUCACUACACGAAUAUUGACACUGAGGCACGAAAGCGUGGGGAUCAAACAGG
RNAcentral lists this ribosomal RNA (253 nucleotides) under uncultured bacterium. RNAcentral describes it as "partial 16S ribosomal RNA". It matches the Rfam family "Bacterial small subunit ribosomal RNA", at positions 524 to 776 of the family's 1533-position model. The record is from RNAcentral.